RNAcentral lists this ribosomal RNA (506 nucleotides) under uncultured bacterium. Its description in RNAcentral is "partial 16S ribosomal RNA". It matches the Rfam family "Bacterial small subunit ribosomal RNA", at positions 28 to 523 of the family's 1533-position model. The record is from RNAcentral.
GAUGAACGCUAGCGGCAGGCCUAACACAUGCAAGUCGAGGGGUAACUAGAGUGAUAGCAAUAUUACUUUGGCUAGACCGGCGCACGGGUGCGUAACACGUAUGCAACCUACCUUAUACUGGGGAAUAACUUCGAGAAAUCGGCGCUAAUACCCCAUAACAUUGCGAAGAGGCAUCUCUUUGCAAUUAAAGCUCCGGCGGUAUAAGAUGGGCAUGCGUCCAAUUAGCUAGUUGGUGAGGUAACGGCUCACCAAGGCUACGAUUGGUAGGGGUUCUGAGAGGAUGAUCCCCCACACUGGAACUGAGACACGGACCAGACUCCUACGGGAGGCAGCAGUGAGGAAUAUUGCGCAAUGGACGAAAGUCUGACGCAGCCAUGCCGCGUGCAGGAUGACGGCCCUAUGGGUUGUAAACUGCUUUUGUACGGGAAUAAACCCUUCUACGUGUAGGAGGCUGAAGGUACCGUAAGAAUAAGCACUGGCUAACUCCGUGCCAGCAGCCGCGGUAA